This 1228-nucleotide long non-coding RNA is filed under the name Anas platyrhynchos platyrhynchos (common mallard). RNAcentral's name for it is "lncRNA (ENSAPLG00000018701.1)". The record is from RNAcentral. Lineage: Eukaryota; Metazoa; Chordata; Aves; Anseriformes; Anatidae.
GGUUUCUCUCCCCCAGGACUGAGCAUGGAGCCACAGCCGGAAGGCGUCGUUUCUGGUUUUGCCUGUUUUUUGCUGUUCUGAGCCCAAAAUGUUGGGGUUUGGUUCAAUAAACAGCGGGAUUGGCAACGCGGCCUCAAAAAAGUUUAGUUUUGGGGGGGGACAGGGGGGGUCUGGUCACAGUGGGUCCCCCGCCGAUGUCCCCACCCCAUCCCCGUGUCCCCCCCUCUUUGUCCUUGUCCCCCCCAUCCUUGUGCCCCCCCCCAAUGUCCCUGUCCUCGAUGUCCCCAUUGGGGUUGUCCCCAUCCCACUGUCCCCACCCCAAUGUCCUCGUCCUGAUGUCCCCUCCCUGAUGUCCCCAUCCCAGUGUCCCCAUCCCGAUGUGAUCCCAGUGUCCUUGUCCCCAUGUCCCCAUCCCAACGUCACCCUGCUGUCCCCAUCCCGAUGUCCUUGUCCCCGUGUUCCCGUCCCACUGUCCCUGUCCCAAUGUCCCCACCCCGAUGUCCUUGUUCUGAUGCCCCCGUGUCCCCAUCCCGCUGUCCCCACCCUGAUGUCCUUGUCCCCGUGUCCUCAUCCCAGUGUCCCCAUUACCAAUGUCCUUGUCCCCCUGUCCCCGUGUCCCCGUCCUGAUGUCCUUGUCCUGAUGGGGAUCAUGGGGAUGGGGUCACCCUAACUGGGGACAUCUUGGGGACAUUGUGGGGAUGGGGUCACCCCAAUGGGGGACAUUUGGGGACACUUUGGGGACAUUUGGGGGACAUUUGGGGCCACCCCCCUGCUGUCACCUCCCCAGCUGCUCCCACUCCACGCUGGGGACACUUUGGGGACAUUUUGGGGAUGGGGUCACCCCAAUGGGGGACAUUUUGGGGACACAGGGAUGGUGUAACCCCACACAGGGACAUUUGGGGCCAUUUGGGGCCAUUUGGGGCCACCCCCCCCCGCAUCACCUCCCCAGCUGCUCCCACUCCAGGCUGGGGGCACUUUGGGGACAUUUUGAGGAUGGGGUCACCCCACUUGGGGACAUUUGGAGACACUUUGGGGAUGGGGUCACCCCAAUUAGGGACAUUUUGGGGACACAGGGACAGGACCACCCUAACUGGGAACAUUCUGGGGAUGGGGUCACCCCAUUGGGGACACUUUGGGGACAUUUGGGGCCACCCCCCCGCGUCACCUCCCCAGCUGCUCCCACUCCAUGCUGGGGACACUGUGGGGACAUUUUGGGGACAGGGUCACC